ACGGAGGGUGCAAGCGUUAAUCGGAAUUACUGGGCGUAAAGCGCACGCAGGCGGUUUGUUAAGUCAGAUGUGAAAUCCCCGGGCUCAACCUGGGAACUGCAUCUGAUACUGGCAAGCUUGAGUCUCGUAGAGGGGGGUAGAAUUCCAGGUGUAGCGGUGAAAUGCGUAGAGAUCAGGAGGAACACCGGCGGCGCAGGCGGCCCACUGGACUAUUUCUGACGCUCAGGUGCGAAAGCGUGGGGAGCAAACAG
Molecule: ribosomal RNA, 251 nt
Filed under: uncultured prokaryote
Description: partial 16S rRNA
Rfam family: Bacterial small subunit ribosomal RNA
Source: RNAcentral